This 45-nucleotide non-coding RNA is filed under the name Schistosoma curassoni. Lineage: Eukaryota; Metazoa; Platyhelminthes; Trematoda; Strigeidida; Schistosomatidae. The record is from RNAcentral.
AUCCAGCCGACGAGUUCUGAAUAGGACGAAACGCGCGUCCUCCAU